Molecule: long non-coding RNA, 606 nt
Organism: Papaver somniferum (opium poppy)
Lineage: Eukaryota; Viridiplantae; Streptophyta; Magnoliopsida; Ranunculales; Papaveraceae
Exons: 4
Source: RefSeq, a predicted model, not a curated record
CUGAAUAUGAAGGAAGAAGAGGAGGAGGAGAAGAAGAAAAGGUCGUUGUUUGCCUUUCUUCGGACUAGGCGCAACAAAACAAAAAUGGGUGUUGGCUUGAAAAGAGAUAUUGUAUGGGAAUGUGGUGGAGAUUCAAAAAACCCCUUUCAAUUGAAUCAGAAGCAUUUUGAUAUCUCCUCUCAGUUAUAACCACUGGAUGUUCCAUUAUUCAGAACAAAUGCUGUGCUAGUGCAGGAUUUUGCAUGGUGUUUGUUUCAUUUUGAAUGUGAUCGAAGUGCUUGGACUUGUAAUGACGAGCAGAGCGUUUCUUCCGGUUUCUAAAAUGCGUGAGACUUGUGUCUUACUGUAACAAUAUAUGAAUUUUAUUUAUAAAUUCACAUAUAAUUUACGAAUUUCCGAAACGGUUAUUAGCUGGGUCUUCCAAAAGAGUAGGAAAUUUGAGGUACAGAAUGUAAUAUACAUAAAUGAAGAUCCUGUCCUAAUUUCCAACCACUGUUUCCAGUAAUAUUCUUGGGUUUUGCCCUUUUAAUGGAAUGAGUCGGUUGAAUCAUUUGUGUAAUUACUUGGAAGAAAUCGAAGAUACUGAGUCACUUAUUAGGCCCUUCA